RNAcentral lists this ribosomal RNA (1114 nucleotides) under Dipteromimus tipuliformis. RNAcentral describes it as "partial 16S ribosomal RNA". The record is from RNAcentral. Lineage: Eukaryota; Metazoa; Arthropoda; Insecta; Ephemeroptera; Dipteromimidae.
GGUAACUUAGUCUUAUAUUCACUAUUAGUGGAUCACAAAUCUAUUCACCUAUAUCACCAUUCAAGAAGAGUUUAUCCUAUCUCCCCGUCACCCCAACCAAACAAAUUUUAAUCAAACCCCCCUCUCUCCCCAAAUAAGUUUAUUAUAUACAAAUUGUCAAACUCUAUAGGGUCUUCUCGUCCUCCAACCUUAUUUUAGCCUUUUAACUAAAAAGUUAAAUUUUAACCCAAUCCCCAUGAGACAGUAAACACCUCGUCCAACCAUUCAUACCAGCCUCUAAUUAAGAGACUAAUGAUUAUGCUACCUUUGCACGGUCAAAAUACCGCGGCCCUUCAAUUUUUCAGCGGGCAGGCCAGACCUCUUAUAUUCACAAGAAGCGAUGUUUUUGAUAAACAGGCGAGCGCUUAUUUGCCGAAUUCCUUACAGAAACCUUUCACAUUAAAUUACUAUUACACUUUCUUAUACUAAUUUCAUCAUUAUUACUCAUUACUUUUUCACUCCUAAUGACACCUUGAUACAUAAACUAAACCCAAUAAAAUUAAACCACCCCUCAGUAAACUAUAACGUUAUUUUGUGACGGCUGAUUUCAAGCCUACUCUCCUAAAUAACUUAUCUGUUAUAAAUUUAUCCCUAAGCUUAUCCCUCGAAAUAUUAACAAUUAGCACUUAAGUUAAUUUACACUAAUCAAACUAACACUCUUAUCUGAAUUAAAUUCAUUUCUCAAAGAACUAGAAACCUUUAAAUUCGUCUAACAUUUCAUUUCUAAAAUGGUAUUUACAAUAAAUUUACAACUUUAACUAAACUACCCUUCUAGCCCACUUAAAAUCGAGAAAAUAAAAUCUUUCACUUCAUUUAAUAAACCCUGAUACACAAGGUACAACAUAAAAUCUACUUUUCAUUAAAUUGAUUUUCAACUCUUUCACCAUUCCUUCACAGUACUUUCACUAUUAUUCACUUUAUGACUUCCUUACCCAAUACUACCACUAAUUUAUACAUAUUGUUUUACUUACACAACUCAAAUUAUUAACCUUCUUAAUUAGAUUCCCUUUCAAAAUAAAUUGAAUUGCACAAUAACUUCUCAAUGUAACCGAAAUGCUUUACUCACCAAGCUCUA